RNAcentral lists this long non-coding RNA (269 nucleotides) under Elaeis guineensis (African oil palm). RNAcentral describes it as "long non-coding RNA (EGUI_LNC053559)". The record is from RNAcentral. Lineage: Eukaryota; Viridiplantae; Streptophyta; Magnoliopsida; Arecales; Arecaceae.
AGGAAGGUAGAAGUAAUGUCUCCUAAUUUUUUUAGGGUACCCUACAAAUUGUAUUUAUCGGACCUAGAUCCAAGCUUGUCAAUCUACGAACAUUUCACAUAAACUGGACAACCCCAAACUCUAAGGUAAGAGUAUCAACCUACACCCAGUCCAUAUCUCAUAUGGAGUGAUUGCGACUGACUUACUUGGAACCUUGUUGAGCAUAAAGCAAAUAGUCUCAAGAGCAUAAUCCAAAAAAAAAGACUGGCGGAUCUACAAACCCCAUCACA